Molecule: ribosomal RNA, 482 nt
Filed under: uncultured bacterium
Lineage: Bacteria
Description: bacterial SSU rRNA
Rfam family: Bacterial small subunit ribosomal RNA
Source: RNAcentral
UUGAACGCUGGCGGAAUGCUUUACACAUGCAAGUCGAACGGCAGCGCGGGGGCAACCCUGGCGGCGAGCGGCGAACGGGUGAGUAACAUAUCGGAACGUACCCAUUGGUGGGGGAUAACACAUCGAAAGAUGUGCUAAUACCGCAUACGACCUGAGGGUGAAAGGGGGGGAUCGCAAGACCUCUCGCCGUUGGAGCGGCCGAUAUCGGAUUAGCUAGUUGGUGAGGUAAAGGCUCACCAAGGCGACGAUCCGUAGCUGGUCUGAGAGGAUGAUCAGCCACACUGGAACUGAGACACGGUCCAGACUCCUACGGGAGGCAGCAGUGGGGAAUUUUGGACAAUGGGGGAAACCCUGAUCCAGCCAUUCCGCGUGAGUGAAGAAGGCCUUCGGGUUGUAAAGCUCUUUCAGGAGGGAAGAAACGGUUGCGGCUAAUACCCGCGACUAAUGACGGUACCUUCAGAAGAAGCACCGGCUAACUACGU